AAAUUGAAGAGUUUGAUCAUGGCUCAGAUUGAACGCUGGUGGCAGGCCUAACACAUGCAAGUCGAACGGUAACAGGAAGCAGCUUGCUGCUUUGCUGACGAGUGGCGGACGGGUGAGUAAUGUCUGGGAAACUGCCUGAUGGAGGGGGAUAACUACUGGAAACGGUGGCUAAUACCGCAUAACGUCGCAAGACCAAAGAGGGGGACCUUC
This 210-nucleotide ribosomal RNA is filed under the name Salmonella enterica subsp. enterica. RNAcentral's name for it is "partial 16S ribosomal RNA". It matches the Rfam family "Bacterial small subunit ribosomal RNA", at positions 1 to 218 of the family's 1533-position model. Lineage: Bacteria; Pseudomonadati; Pseudomonadota; Gammaproteobacteria; Enterobacterales; Enterobacteriaceae. The record is from RNAcentral.